GGGGGGGGCAAGCGUUGUUCGGAAUUACUGGGCGUAAAGGGCUCGUAGGUGGCCAACUAAGUCAUACGUGAAAUCCCUCGGCUUAACCGGGGAACUGCGUCUGAUACUGGUUGGCUUGAGUUUGGGAGAGGGACGCGGAAUCCCAGGUGUAGCGGUGAAAUGCGUAGAUAUCUGGAGGAACACCGGUGGCGAAGGCGGCGUCCUGGACCAAUACUGACACUGAGGGGCGAAAGCCAGGGGAGCAAACGGGAUUAGAUACCCCGGUAGUCCUGGCCCUAAACGAUGAAUGCUUGGUGUGGCGGGUAUCGAUCCCUGCCGUGCCGAAGCUAACGCAUUAAGCAUUCCGCCUGGGGAGUACGGUCGCAAGGCUG
RNAcentral lists this ribosomal RNA (371 nucleotides) under uncultured bacterium. RNAcentral describes it as "bacterial SSU rRNA". It matches the Rfam family "Bacterial small subunit ribosomal RNA", at positions 527 to 896 of the family's 1533-position model. The record is from RNAcentral.